Molecule: RNA transcript, 1554 nt
Organism: Mus musculus (house mouse)
Lineage: Eukaryota; Metazoa; Chordata; Mammalia; Rodentia; Muridae
Gene: Amacr
Gene name: alpha-methylacyl-CoA racemase
Exons: 5
Source: RefSeq, marked validated
GCUCUCACCCUAAGGCUGGCCAUGGUGCUGCGUGGCGUCAGGGUUGUGGAGCUGGCAGGCCUGGCCCCGGGGCCGUUCUGCGGAAUGGUCCUGGCGGACUUCGGCGCCGAGGUGGUGCGCGUGAACCGGCUGGGCUCCACGGGCGAGAAUUUUCUGGCCCGAGGCAAGCGCUCGCUAGCGCUGGACCUGAAGCGCUCUCAGGGAGUCACGGUGUUGCGGCGCAUGUGCGCACGCGCGGACGUGUUGCUGGAGCCCUUCCGCUGCGGUGUCAUGGAGAAACUCCAGCUUGGGCCAGAGACUCUACUGCAGGACAAUCCAAAGCUCAUCUAUGCCAGGCUGAGCGGAUUUGGCCAAUCGGGAAUUUUCUCCAAAGUAGCUGGCCAUGACAUCAACUAUUUGGCUUUAUCAGGGGCGUUCAAUUUGUUGUCCAUGGUGCAGGCGUUCUGUCAAAGAUUGGCAGAAGCGGUGAGAACCCCUACCCACCGCUGAAUCUCCUGGCUGACUUUGGCGGUGGAGGCCUCAUGUGCACACUGGGCAUUGUGCUGGCUCUCUUUGAACGCACACGCUCUGGCCGAGGGCAGGUCAUCGAUUCAAGCAUGGUGGAAGGGACUGCAUACUUAAGUUCUUUCCUGUGGAAAACCCAGCCCAUGGGUCUGUGGAAACAGCCUCGAGGACAAAACAUCUUAGAUGGCGGUGCACCUUUCUACACAACCUACAAGACGGCAGACGGGGAGUUCAUGGCUGUAGGUGCCAUAGAACCCCAGUUCUAUGCACUGCUGCUUAAAGGACUUGGACUCGAGUCUGAGGAACUCCCCUCCCAGAUGAGCUCAGCAGAUUGGCCAGAGAUGAAGAAGAAAUUUGCAGAUGUGUUUGCAAAGAAGACUAAGGCAGAAUGGUGCCAGAUCUUUGACGGGACAGAUGCGUGUGUGACCCCAGUGCUGACGUUUGAGGAGGCCCUCCACCACCAGCACAACAGAGAACGGGCCUCCUUCAUCACUGAUGGGGAGCAGCUCCCGAGCCCCCGCCCUGCACCUCUGCUUUCCAGAACUCCUGCCGUCCCAUCUGCCAAAAGGGACCCUUCUGUAGGGGAGCACACCGUAGAAGUGCUUAGAGAGUAUGGAUUCAGUCAGGAAGAGAUCCUUCAGCUGCACUCAGAUAGAAUCGUUGAAAGUGAUAAGCUAAAAGCCAAUCUCUGACUCAGGCUUAUAGCUCAAGAGAAUCUGAAGGCUGCAUCUCCACUGGGGAGGGAUGCCCACAAUUGUGUGUAUGGAAAUGUGGAUGAACAGCAAUGAAGUCAUCCAAAUAUCCCAAUCACGAUCCAACGAAAGGCUGGUUACAGGAUAACGAUUGCGCCCUUACGCUGCUUAUCAGAGCCUCUGAUUGAGGAAAAUUUGUGUGUGUGUACUGAUAGUAACUUGUGGCAGCUUUCUGCCUUUCAGUUCCCUUGGUGAAGUGUAUCCAUUUAUUAAAACCCUUUUAUAAAUACAACUCUGAUCAUAUAUUAAAUAAACUAUUAUAACUUUAAUAAAUAAAACUCUUGUUUUCCUCCUCAAA